This is a long non-coding RNA of Esox lucius (northern pike), 3160 nucleotides long. Lineage: Eukaryota; Metazoa; Chordata; Actinopteri; Esociformes; Esocidae. The record is from Ensembl.
GAGAGGGGACUGCUGUACAGCAUGCAUUACUGACAUGUCCAGUGGUCAUUAAACACCUUAGACUACUUUCAACUGUCUGACAGUUUUAUACUUUGAUAUUAAACAAAAAAACUCGGCAUCAAGCAAAGUUGUAAUAAAAUGACUUCCGUUUAUUGCAUUUUGUGCAGACAAAUCUAUAAAAUGGUUUGAGAAAACCAUUAGCCAUUGAUGUAUAAGCCUUUGACAUGGUUAAACAUCUUGGUAAAACAACAGUUUAUAUAUCAUUAUUGAACACAAUAGAGAAUACAUAUUUCUAUAUCUGUAAAAUAUUAAACUUGCAUUGACACACAAAUGAAAUAUCUAAGCUCUACUUUGAUAAUUAUUGAUGUAUUUACAAAUGUCCCAUCUUUACCCUUUCUUUACCGGUACAUACUCUCAAACAAACACAUACAGAUGCGCACAGUAAACACUCACAGGCAUGCACACACUUGGACAGGCAUACACACAAACACCCACACUCACACACACACACACACACACACACACACACAUACAGACAUAUCUGAACAUGCCACUACUUUGUUCAUUCUACAUCAUCACUCUUGUUCCUAAAGAACAUAAAAUUGUGAACAUAAAACACCUACUAAUCAAGAUAGCUAUCCUCUCAGAUCUACAUCAAUUUCUACCUUUAAAAAUGCAUUACAAUGCUCCUAUGGACCAAGUAUAAAUACAAUAUCAUAAGUGAAGAUUUAGAAACACUAGCUCUUGAUAUUUUUUUCUUGCUGGCAUUGUGCUCACACUUCUCGAGUAGAUGAAGGAGUCAUGAGGGUUGCACAAAAAAUCUGACCUCCUAAAAAAGAAGGCUUAACAUUAGCUAACACAAUGUGAUGAGUUUGACUUUUCUGUAAUGAAAAUGACACACUUACAUGCAUAUACUAGGUUCUAAAGUCUGUGGGAACCAGAACAGUAAAUAAACUGUCCAUUCUUAGUAAAAGCUACAAAAUCCUUCUCACUAUGCAUUGUCCUCAGUGGAAAAAAGAAGAAAUAAAUUCCUGGCUUAGUUAAAAAUUAGUCUGUAUGAAAAAAACUGAGCUAAUUUAGUUGACUAUGGGGUGAUAGAAUGAUAGCAAGUGCAGAACGGCAGUGGGAGCUAGCACGUAAUGGGAGCGUGUGUUUUAUUUAAAAUAACACCCCAAUAUUUGGGAUUUCUUUUGACCCAAUCCAUAAGUUCACAACAUUGUAAAUCAUUGGUGUAAUUUGACACACAGAUAUGAAGGAAGUCCUGAUCUAUUUGGACUGAGUAGCAAUUUACCAGGGUUUAGUGUGUAAAGGUUUGGAGUUUCUUCCCCUCGCGACUGUUGUCUUUUCUGGACGCGGUGGAUAUAUACAACAUAAAAUAAUAUUUUUUUGCGGCAAAUACCCAGUGUUUGUGGUUAUAAAAAGCAUAAUAAUAUGUACAUUUGAAAUCAAAAUCCACAUGUAUAAGUUAGUAUUUGGAGAAAAUAUGCAUAAUUGUCGGUAUUUAAAGUAGGUAUGUUAUUUGUCGAUUUUGAUUUGUUUCUCGACUAAUUAUUUACCUAAAUUGUAAAAUAAUCAAUUAAUGACUUUAAUAAAGCAAGUUGAAAAACAAUUGUGAUUGCAGAAACAAACUGUGCUAUACAUUACUUGCAUGCAUUAAACAAAUCUAAAUGAUUCACACUUGUGCACAUAUGCGCUAGAACUAUCACAGUGAAAAGCCUGUUUACCUGCUUUGGACUUACACAAAUAGCCUCUCAGCAAUAUAUCGUGUUGGAUUCUACAUUAAUUAAGUGGUGGUCUUGUCAAAUUGGCCGAGUUUUUUCAAGUUAUUUUACAGGGUUGUAAACAGAAGUGCAUUCCUGAUGAGCACUUUCAAACUUGAUAGCUUCAACAUUUCAGCGCAAGGCAAAGUCCAAUGUCACAGGGUAAUGAUUUGUGGAUUCGAGAGCCCUUUUCGCACCCUGUUCAUAAAUGUAUAUAAUCUGACAUCUUUUUUUUUUUUUUUUUUGCUGUAGAGAAGGAUUCUUAUGUGUAAUGAGACAUUAUAAAACAUCCAGAGUAUGGCAGUCUAACUGCAGCCUUUCUGUCUGACCUCCCUCUUACUUCUGUAGACGAAGUCAUCGAAUGUGUAAAUAUAACACUGUAAAGGUCUCUCUGACCUCUGCCAAUGGUGGAAGCCCUGGUUUUGUCGUUUUUGAUCAUAUUAAAAUCUACCACAAUCAUACUGCUGGUGAAUCAGUAAGAUGGUAGGUUAUGGUAGGGGGGAUCGUAUGUGUUUAUAGAAACCAUAUCUAAGACUCAUACUGUAAGCCAAACAUACACAUUAUUCGGCACACCAUACAACACAGCCAUUCUCCGACCAUAGGUAUAUACGUAUCUGUAUGAUUCUAUGGCUCCAACACUCUCCAUCUCAUGUACCCAAUAACACCACACACAGAAAUCUACGGAUCUACUUGAUUCAGAAGAUUGCAGCAAUAAACUUUAACCUCAUGCAGUAGGCUCAGCAGUGCACUCCCAAGCUCUGAUAACAUUGUUCAUCCCUGUCACUUUUCAUAUAGGGAUGAACAGCUGAUCUGAUAUUCUGAUUACUGUAUAUGUCUACACAGAAUAUUUAUAUAUGUCCAAGAAUUUUCUUAUGUUUUAGGUUUACAGUAGGUUUGUUGCAUAGAUCCCCAAGUUUAAACACUCAAUUCAAAAUCGCCAUAUGAUUUUACUUUAGUUAAAUAAUGACUUAGGCCAAACUCAUAUUUGAAUAAAAACCAUUCUCCCCAGGCAGACUGGCUGACGCCCACAAUGUAAACAAUGUUCCAGCUGUUGCCCUUGGUCUUGACUUUCUGACACUAAAUAAUUAUCUGUUUUCAGCUCAAAAGAUGAACUUGGGACACAUUUACUUUAUGCAAGUGCCAAAUGCCUUGUCCUUCAUGACAACUUGUCCUACAUCACAACUAACCAAGUCCUGUCUAGAAGGAUACCAUAUGAAACUACUGUUACAAACACCAUGCAAACAGGAAUAUAAAUACAUUGUUUUCAACAUCAACUUUUAGACAAGUUAUGUCAUAUUUAUGUUUCCAGUUACUGUAUAUACAUUAUAGCAGUUUUAUAUUUUCCUUAUAUAUAUAUAUAUAUAUAUAUAUAUAUAUAUAUAUAUAUAUAUAUAUAUAUA